AGAGUUUGAUCAUGGCUCAGAUUGAACGCUGGCGGCAUGCCUUACACAUGCAAGUCGAACGGCAGCACGGGAGCUUGCUCCUGGUGGCGAGUGGCGAACGGGUGAGUAAAGCAUCGGAACGUACCUUGUCGAGGGGGAUAACGCAGCGAAAGUUGUGCUAAUACCGCAUACGUCCUGAGGGAGAAAGCGGGGGACCGCAAGGCCUCGCGCGAUGAGAGCGGCCGAUGUCAGAUUAGCUAGUUGGUGAGGUAAAGGCUCACCAAGGCGACGAUCUGUAGCGGGUCUGAGAGGAUGAUCCGCCACACUGGGACUGAGACACGGCCCAGACUCCUACGGGAGGCAGCAGUGGGGAAUUUUGGACAAUGGGGGAAACCCUGAUCCAGCCAUGCCGCGUGUGUGAAGAAGGCCUUCGGGUUGUAAAGCUCUUUCGGCCGGGAAAAAAUGGCACGGAUGAACAGUCUGUGUAGAUGAUGGUACCGGACUAAGAAGCACCGGCUAACUACGUGCCAGCAGCCGCGGUAAUACGUAGGGUGCGAGCGUUAAUCGGAAUUACUGGGCGUAAAGCGUGCGCAGGCGGUUUUGUAAGACAGGCGUGAAAUCCCCGGGCUCAACCUGGGAACUGCGCUUGUGACUGCAAGACUCGAGUACGGCAGAGGGG
This 658-nucleotide ribosomal RNA is filed under the name uncultured bacterium. RNAcentral describes it as "bacterial SSU rRNA". It matches the Rfam family "Bacterial small subunit ribosomal RNA", at positions 8 to 659 of the family's 1533-position model. The record is from RNAcentral.